This 27-nucleotide non-coding RNA is filed under the name Mus musculus (house mouse). Lineage: Eukaryota; Metazoa; Chordata; Mammalia; Rodentia; Muridae. The record is from RNAcentral.
UGAUUCUUAACCUAUGUCUGGAAGUGU